RNAcentral lists this ribosomal RNA (774 nucleotides) under uncultured Streptococcus sp. RNAcentral's name for it is "bacterial SSU rRNA". It matches the Rfam family "Bacterial small subunit ribosomal RNA", at positions 28 to 776 of the family's 1533-position model. Lineage: Bacteria; Bacillati; Bacillota; Bacilli; Lactobacillales; Streptococcaceae. The record is from RNAcentral.
GACGAACGCGGGCGGCGUGCCUAAUACAUGCAAGUAGAACGCACAGGAUGCACCGUAGUUUACUACACCGUAUUCUUUGAGUUGCGAAACGGGUGAGUAACGCGUAGGUAACCUGCCUGGUAGCGGGGGAUAACUAUUGGAAACGAUAGCUAAUACCGCAUAAGAACAUUUACUGCAUGGUAGAUGUUUAAAAGGUGCAAGAGCAUCACUACCAGAUGGACCUGCGUUGUAUUAGCUAGUUGGUGAGGUAACGGCUCACCAAGGCAACGAUACAUAGCCGACCUGAGAGGGUGAUCGGCCACACUGGGACUGAGACACGGCCCAGACUCCUACGGGAGGCAGCAGUAGGGAAUCUUCGGCAAUGGGGGAAACCCUGACCGAGCAGCGCCGCGUGAGUGAAGAAGGUUUUCGGAUCGUAAAGCUCUGUUGUUAAGGAAGAACGUGUGUGAGAGUGGAAAGUUCACACAGUGACGGUACUUAACCAGAAAGGGACGGCUAACUACGUGCCAGCAGCCGCGGUAAUACGUAGGUCUCGAGCGUUGUCCGGAUUUAUUGGGCGUAAAGCGAGCGCAGGCGGUUAGAUAAGUCUGAAGUGAAAGGCAGUGGCUCAACCAUUGUAGGCUUUGGAAACUGUUUAACUUGAGUGCAGAAGGGGAGAGUGGAAUUCCAUGUGUAGCGGUGAAAUGCGUAGAUAUAUGGAGGAACACCGGUGGCGAAAGCGGCCCUCUGGUCUGUAACUGACGCUGAGGCUCGAAAGCGUGGGGAGCGAACAGG